AGCAGCCGCGGUAAUUCCAGCUCCAAUAGCGUAUAUUAAAGUUGUUGCAGUUAAAAAGCUCGUAGUUGAAUUUCGAGACCGGUUUACUGGUCGUGCUUUUGUACGUACUGGUAUUAUUGGUUUCUCCUUUCUGACGAAUCAUAAUGCCAUUAAUUUGGUGUUUUGGGGAAUCAGGACUGUUACUUUGAAAAAAUUAGAGUGUUUAAAGCAGGCUCACGCUUGAAUACAUUAGCAUGGAAUAACGAAAUAGGACGUUUGAUUUUAUUUUGUUGGUUUCUAGGAUCGACGUAAUGAUUAAUAGGGAUAGUUGGGGGCAUUAGUAUUCAAUUGUCAGAGGUGAAAUUCUUGGAUUUAUUGAAGACUAACUACUGCGAAAGCAUUUGCCAAGGAUGUUUUCAUUAAUCAAGAACGAAAGUUAGGGGAUCGAAGACGAUCAGAUACCGUCGUAGUCUUAACCAUAAACUAU
This 466-nucleotide ribosomal RNA is filed under the name uncultured Glomus. RNAcentral describes it as "SSU rRNA". It matches the Rfam family "Eukaryotic small subunit ribosomal RNA", at positions 569 to 1040 of the family's 1831-position model. Lineage: Eukaryota; Fungi; Glomeromycota; Glomeromycetes; Glomerales; Glomeraceae. The record is from RNAcentral.